Molecule: ribosomal RNA, 510 nt
Filed under: uncultured bacterium
Lineage: Bacteria
Description: partial 16S ribosomal RNA
Rfam family: Bacterial small subunit ribosomal RNA
Source: RNAcentral
GACGAACGCUGGCGGCGUGCUUAACACAUGCAAGUCGAACGAAGAGCGAUGGAAGCUUGCUUCUAUCAAUCUUAGUGGCGAACGGGUGAGUAACGCGUAAUCAACCUGCCCUUCAGAGGGGGACAACAGUUGGAAACGACUGCUAAUACCGCAUACGAUCUAAUCUCGGCAUCGAGGAUAGAUGAAGGGUGGCCUCUACAUGUAAGCUAUCACUGAAGGAGGGGAUUGCGUCUGAUUAGCUAGUUGGAGGGGUAACGGACCACCAAGGCGAGGAUCAGUAGCCGGACUGAGAGGAUGGGCAGCCACAUUGGGACUGAGACACGGCCCAGAGGGCUACGGGAGGCAGCAGGGGGGAAACUUGCGCAAGCGGCGGAAGACUGUCGGAGCAACGCCGAGGGAGGGAUGACGGCCGUCGGGUUGGAAAGGUCUGUUAAUCGGGACGAAAGGGCUUCUUGCGAAUAGUGAGAAGGAUUGACGGUACCGGAAUAGAAAGCAACGGCUAACUACGUG